This 264-nucleotide ribosomal RNA is filed under the name uncultured bacterium. RNAcentral's name for it is "partial 16S ribosomal RNA". It matches the Rfam family "Bacterial small subunit ribosomal RNA", at positions 15 to 273 of the family's 1533-position model. The record is from RNAcentral.
AAUCCUGGCUCAGGAUGAACGCUAGCUACAGGCUUAACACAUGCAAGUCGAGGGGCAGCAUUUUUAUAGCAAUAUAAAAGAUGGCGACCGGCGCACGGGUGUGUAACACGUAUCCAACCUGCCGAUAACUCGGGGAUAACCCUUCGAAAGAAGGCCUAAUACCCGAUGGCAUAUCCCUUCCGCCUGGUUGGGAUAUUAAAGAACUUCGGUUAUCGAUGGGGAUGCGUUCCAUUAGCUUGUUGGCGGGGUAACGGCCCACCAAGG